RNAcentral lists this ribosomal RNA (521 nucleotides) under uncultured bacterium. RNAcentral's name for it is "bacterial SSU rRNA". It matches the Rfam family "Bacterial small subunit ribosomal RNA", at positions 163 to 661 of the family's 1533-position model. The record is from RNAcentral.
CUAAUACCGCAUAAUGCAGCGGAUCCGCAUGGAUAUGUUGUUAAAGUGGUCUCGACUUGUCGAGGUCACGCCUAAAGAUGGACCUGCAUCCCAUUAGCUAGUUGGUGAGGUAAUGGCCCACCAAGGCGACGAUGGGUAGCCGGCCUGAGAGGGUGUCCGGCCACACUGGGACUGAGAUACGGCCCAGACUCCUACGGGAGGCAGCAGUGAGGAAUAUUGGGCAAUGGCCGAAAGGCUGACCCAGCAACGCCGCGUGAGGGAUGAAGCUCCAAGGAGUGUAAACCUCUUUCGGGAGGGAAGAACCUUCUGAUGGUGAACAACCAUCGGAAUUGACGGUACCUCCUAAAGAAGCCCCGGCUAACUCCGUGCCAGCAGCCGCGGUAAUACGGGGGGGGCGAGCGUUGUCCGGAAUCAUUGGGCGUAAGGGCGCGUAGGCGGAGUAGUAAGUUGGAGGUGAAAAUCCUGGGCUUAACUCAGGACCUGCCUUCGAUACUGCUAUUCUUGAGUGCAGAAGAGGAAGC